Non-coding RNA from Doryrhamphus excisus (bluestripe pipefish), 2913 nucleotides. The record is from RefSeq and is a predicted model, not a curated record. Lineage: Eukaryota; Metazoa; Chordata; Actinopteri; Syngnathiformes; Syngnathidae.
UUGAGUUUGAGACCCCUGGUGUAGAGGCUCCCUUCAAUGUCCAGUUCUCUAUUGGACAAACUAGCUACAAUUGACUGUCCUCUUAGUCUUACCAUUGUCAUCAAAUCCAUGUGUGAUCUCAUGUCCGAUGACCAUUCCGAUUCCACCAAAGUUCAGAGCCUGCUGCUGAUGUUUACUAAAGAAAGGUGGCUGCAGAAUGCCUGCAGGAAACACUGCACACACGAGAAAAACGCUCAUGAAUGAAACUGGAGAAGCUACCGAAGAAUGUUAUUGCUCAAGGCUCUUACCGAUCUGGUUUCUGUUGGGAGAGUAAAACGCAUUCACCACAGCAGCACCGAUGAUCCACCUGGAAUGUAAACAAUGAAUCAAGUGCUACACUGCACUAUAUACUUCAUCCUCAGUCAGGCUGAUUUCAAAGUGUCAGCUUACAAGUUGGGAUCCACUGGCUCCCUGAGCUUCUUUAGACUCUUGUGGGCCUCAGACUUUAGAUUCUCCAGGACAUUCUCAAAGUAGUGUUCCUCGCUGAAAUUCAACUGUAAAGGAAAGCAAAUCAGCAAGGACUCAAAGUACCGGCAGUACUUUUCUCCAAGCUAAAAUGUCUCCUUACAUGAGCAUACUCUUGGUCCAGCUUGAAGUUACUUUUCUGUAGAACAUGAUCUGGAUAGCCGAUAUGCUCCUUGAUUGACAUGGCCUGCAGAUAAAUUAACCACAGUUAAGAUUAUCUGCAGUACAUGCAUAGUGACUCUUUGUAAAUCUACCUUCUCACUCGCUAAAUGUACUGCAAAAAAGGUCAGUAAGGAUAAUUCAUAAUGCCGCCUACAGGGAACAUACUAACUCCUUAUUUCUAAAAUCACAAAUACUUAAACUUGCUGAUAUAGUUAAUCUUCAAACAGCUAAAAUAAUGCAUAAGGCUAAAAAUAACCAAUUACCUAAAAAUGUCAUCCAAUACUUCUCUACAAGAGAGGAGAAAUAUGAUCUCAGGGAAGAACUACAUUUGAAACACUUAUAUGCUAGGACUACAUUAAAAAGCCAUGGCAUGUCAGUGUGUGGAAUCAAACUAUGGAAUGGAUUGAGUAAGGAACUCAAACAAUGCACAACGAUGAGCCAAUUCAAGAAACAAUACAAGCAGUUGAUGUUUGCUAAAUACAAGGAUGAAGAGUCUUGAACCAGUCAUGAUGUGCUAUACAUAUCACUAUAUUGACACUUACUAUGGUACUGAAUACCUCGUACUACGGUACAUGACAAAAAAUAAAUAAAUAAAAAAUAAUAAUAAAACGUAAACUAUAUUAGGAAAGCAGGAAGUGAACAAAUGUAACAGUUACUGAUUGUAAAAGUACCAGAUGAAGGGAUAGGAUUUAAUAAGCUUUGCUUCUUCCUUCUCCUUUUGGACAUGUGGAACUGUGAACUGAUUAUGUGAUGCAUUCAAUUGUAAUCUGAUUCAUGUUCAAAUGAAAUAUUACCAUUACCAUUACCUUCUCUCUUGCUUUCUCCUUGGAGGGGGCAUCCAUCCAGCCUAGCUCAUCCAGCGUUUCUACAUAUGCAGUCUGGAUCUUCCCAAUGAGGUCGCUAACCUGUGAACAGAUGAAGUAAGAAAGGAAAUUUAAGAAAAGCUCAAGACCGACGAGACUAGCAUGGAUGCUGACAUAGUAGCAGGUUUAUCAAAACUGGAUAUGUGCAAGAAGAUGUCUUCAUUCUAAAUUCAGAGAUCCUACUUGACACUGACCAUCCGUUUGCUUUCCCCGGCAAAGGUCUCCCGCACAUAGAGCGCUCCAACCGCAUUCUCCAUGCUGCUUUGGACGUAACGGACACACUCCCUCCACCAAGCGUCCUCCACUGUGGUCCCAUACAAAGUCUAAACACACACAGUAACAAGAGCGUGGAUUUUGGAGUCCCAUCAUUGUAGCAACGGAGCCUACCUUUCUGUAACGAGCCCUGGCAUCUUUGAAGCGGCGACUCAAGCUGUUCACUCUGUCGAUCACCAGUUGCCAGGCCUAAGGCUGACCUGACGCUAUGUCUGGAGAGGAUUUCGUUCAUCUUGUCAAGCCGGCGAUGUGGCCUGGAAGGAAGACGAGAGUUGCCAAUCAUGCAGGCUUUUUGUCAGUAAAAGUCUCACAGCAAUGAUUGGACCAAUGCAGAGAAACAGAAACUCCAACUGAUGCCGUUACCAUUUCAUUCGGGUCCAGCACUUGCAUCAUUUCCUCCCACACACGGUCAUCAUCCUGUGUCAGGUUCCUGUCCUCCCGGGUUAUUUUGGCAAUAGAGACCAUAAAAUGGAGUGGUGGCGUUCCAGUCAUCAGAUGCCACAGGCCAGUCUCCAAUACUGUCUAUGAGCUUCAGGAGAGGCUGAGAGUCCCGCUGCUCUAUGAGGCCUGUGGGAGCUGUAAAGGAUUUUGGCCUUCUUGAUGGCAUCUCUGUCUUCCUCACACUCUGUUUCAAGAACGCCUGGAAGCAGAAAACACUAGCUUUGCAUUUAACACUUGUCCCUUAGAAUGUCAAAGACGCUAUGGCGUGAGCUGGUCUCUGGGAUGACGUGGCGCUCCAGCCAGCCCCCGCAGGCAUACUGGUAGAAGUUAUCACAAGGCUUCACAGAUGGAUCCAUGUUCUGCAGGAGCCGGGAUGCUUCGGGAAGAGGUAAAAAAAAAAGUAAGCAUGAGACAUGUUUUUUUGAGGGCGGUGGGAAUCUCUUCACCCUCACCUGCUGUAACACAGUCUGCACUUGUGCACACAUGAUGGUCCAGGUUGGAACGAAACAGCUGACCUGGAAGACAAAAUUGGGGUCAACAAGAAAAUAAUCAGGCUUUAUUGACAUAUGACAUCACAGCUGGGAAGAAGCUUGCAAAGAGCAUUUCAAAUGGAUUUGGGCACGCUGAAAAGAUAUGCUGUGUGAUGCUGGGUGCAGGAACGUCAAAAUGA